UAACCUACUAAAUAGUUACGCGAACCUUUGCGUUCGUGGCCAACUUCUUAGAGGGACUUUUGCGUGCUUUAACCAAAGGAAGUUUGAGGCAAUAACAGGUCUGUGAUGCCCUUAGAUGUUCUGGGCCGCACGCGCGCUACACUGAUACGUUCAGCAAGUUUACAACCUUGACCGGCAGGUCUGGGUAAUCUUCUAAAGCGUAUCGUGAUGGGGAUAGAUCUUUGUAAUUUUGGAUCUUCAACGAGGAAUUCCUAGUAAACGCGAGUCAUCAGCUCGCAUUGAUUACGUCCCUGCCCUUUGUACACACCGCCCGUCGCU
This 318-nucleotide ribosomal RNA is filed under the name uncultured eukaryote. RNAcentral's name for it is "SSU rRNA". It matches the Rfam family "Eukaryotic small subunit ribosomal RNA", at positions 1344 to 1680 of the family's 1831-position model. The record is from RNAcentral.